RNAcentral lists this transfer RNA (68 nucleotides) under Ranacris albicornis. RNAcentral's name for it is "tRNA-Cys". Lineage: Eukaryota; Metazoa; Arthropoda; Insecta; Orthoptera; Acrididae. The record is from RNAcentral.
GGCCUUGUAUUCAAAAAUGAUUCUAGACUGCAAUUCUAGAGGUGUAAUGGCAAAAUUUACUAAGGCCU